GCGGCCUAUCAGCUUGUUGGGGAGGUAACGGCUCACCAAGGCUUCGACGGGUAGCUGGUCUGAGGGGAUGAUCAGCCACACUGGGACUGAGACACGGCCCAGACUCCUACGGGAGGCAGCAGUGGGGAAUCUUGCGCAAUGGGCGAAAGCCUGACGCAGCCACGCCGCGUGCGGGAUGAAGGCCCUAGGGUUGUAAACCGCUUUUAACAGGAACGAAAAUGACGGUACCUGUAGAAUAAGGUGCGGCCAACUACGUGCCAGCAGCCGCGGUGACACGUAGGCACCAAGCGUUGUCCGGAUUUAUUGGGCGUAAAGAGCUCGUAGGCGGUUCAGUAAGACGGGUGUGAAAACUCUGGGCUUAACCCAGAGACGCCACUCGAUACUAUUGUGACUAGAGUUCGGUAGGGGAGACUGGAAUUCCU
RNAcentral lists this ribosomal RNA (422 nucleotides) under uncultured Actinomycetes bacterium. RNAcentral's name for it is "bacterial SSU rRNA". It matches the Rfam family "Bacterial small subunit ribosomal RNA", at positions 233 to 671 of the family's 1533-position model. The record is from RNAcentral. Lineage: Bacteria; Bacillati; Actinomycetota; Actinomycetes.